RNAcentral lists this ribosomal RNA (466 nucleotides) under uncultured bacterium. RNAcentral describes it as "partial 16S ribosomal RNA". It matches the Rfam family "Bacterial small subunit ribosomal RNA", at positions 27 to 507 of the family's 1533-position model. The record is from RNAcentral.
GGACGAACGCUGGCGGCGUGCUUAACACAUGCAAGUCGAACGGAAAGGCCCAGCUUGCUGGGUGCUCGAGUGGCGAACGGGUGAGUAACACGUGGGUGAUCUGCCCCUAACUUCGGGAUAAGCUUGGGAAACUGGGUCUAAUACCGGAUAGGACAAUCGUUUAGUGUCGGUUGUGGAAAGUUUUUUCGGUUAGGGAUGAGCCCGCGGCCUAUCAGCUUGUUGGUGGGGUAAUGGCCUACCAAGGCGUCGACGGGUAGCCGGCCUGAGAGGGUGGACGGCCAAAUUGGGGCUGGGGUAGGGCCCAGGCCUCCAGCGGGGGGCGGAGGGGGGGAAUAUGGAACAAGGGGGGCAGCCUUGAUGCAGCGCCCCGGGGGGGGGGAGGCCGGCUUUCGGUUUGUAACCCUCUUCCGCCGGGGAGGAAGUUUGGGGGGCGUUCCCUAUAAAAAAGACCCCGGCUAACUACGUC